UGCAUAUACAGAUAGAUAUUCCCAAUCUCUUGUCGAGCGUCGCCUGGUCUGCUCUCAAGCAUCGAAGGAAGAAGAUGAACUGGAUCAGCCGAAAGAUGCAUCUCUACAACGUAACCAUGGGCCUCUACAUGCUCGACUGGUGGGAGCGCUGCCUCUUCAAUGUAUUGUUGCUUACUUUGCUUUGGUUUAUCUGCUACAAUGGAUCUCGAUUUGCCACGGAGUUUUACGAAGGUGGCCAUCUGAAGUAUAAACUUUUGGUCGACGGAAGGCUUCCAAAUGGAUGGAGCAUACCAUCCUAA
Musa acuminata AAA Group (dessert banana) is the source of this 299-nucleotide long non-coding RNA. RefSeq lists it as uncharacterized. The transcript has 3 exons. NCBI's taxonomy places the organism in Eukaryota, Viridiplantae, Streptophyta, Magnoliopsida, Zingiberales, Musaceae. The record is from RefSeq and is a predicted model, not a curated record.